GCUGUUAUAGCUCAGUGGUAGAGCACUUCCUUGGUAAGGAAGAGGUCCCGAGUUCAAGUCUCGGUAACAGUU
RNAcentral lists this transfer RNA (72 nucleotides) under Prevotella sp. P5-50. RNAcentral describes it as "tRNA-Thr". It matches the Rfam family "tRNA". Rfam says of the family: Transfer RNA (tRNA) molecules are approximately 80 nucleotides in length. Their secondary structure includes four short double-helical elements and three loops (D, anti-codon, and T loops). Lineage: Bacteria; Pseudomonadati; Bacteroidota; Bacteroidia; Bacteroidales; Prevotellaceae. The record is from RNAcentral.